RNAcentral lists this ribosomal RNA (583 nucleotides) under Entomacrodus vermiculatus (vermiculated blenny). RNAcentral describes it as "partial 16S ribosomal RNA". It matches the Rfam family "Bacterial large subunit ribosomal RNA", at positions 1815 to 2604 of the family's 2925-position model. The record is from RNAcentral. Lineage: Eukaryota; Metazoa; Chordata; Actinopteri; Blenniiformes; Blenniidae.
AUCGCCUCUCGACCCCACUAAGCAUGAGAGGUCCCGCCUGCCCUGUGAUUAUAAAUUUAACGGCCGCGGUAUUUUGACCGUGCAAAGGUAGCGCAAUCACUUGUCUUUUAAAUGGAGACCUGUAUGAAUGGCAUAACGAGGGCUUGACUGUCUCCCUCUCCCAGUCAAUGAAAUUGAUCUUCCCGUGCAGAAGCGGGAAUAACUACAUAAGACGAGAAGACCCUGUGGAGCUUUAGACGAUAAAUAGUGCCUGUAAAGAUAAGCUUUAAAACAUCAAAACAAAAGGUGUAACUAUUUUAAUGUCUUCGGUUGGGGCGACCGCGGGGAAAUAAAAAACCCCCACGUGGAACAUGGACUCCUCCUUUAAACCACGAGUAACAACUCUAAGCAACAGAACAUCUGACCUAAAUUGACCCGGCUCUUGCCGAUCAACGAAACCAGUUACCCCAGGGAUAACAGCGCAAUCCUCUCCCAGAGUCCAUAUCGACGAGAGGGUUUACGACCUCGAUGUUGGAUCAGGACAUCCUAAUGGUGCAGCCGCUAUUAAGGGUUCGUUUGUUCAACGAUUAAAGUCCUACGUGAU